GAUUGUAUAUUAAAUCUUAGAUUUUUCGUAUGCAUCCUUUAUAGUUCAGCUUGAUGAUUGAUAAAACCUGUAACAAUUGGAUUGGGUCUUCCGUUUACAGGUUAAUCCUGUGGCAAGGAUUUGGUAUUAAGAACUCCAUCACCUCCAUGCAAGAACGUAUCAGAUUUAGAUUCAUUUGGAUCUGUUGCUGCUAAUUCUAUUGAAGGUAGAUCAACGCUGCAUCAGUAUUUCAAGCUCUUUCAUGAAAAUUACCAUUGAUGAGGUGAUACUAAAUAACAAAAGAAAAAUCACCAUAAAAACUGAAAAAUAAAUAAAAAAAAUAAUUGAAAAAUAAGAAGAUCGUAAUUUUAGAAAAAACCCCGUG
Molecule: long non-coding RNA, 364 nt
Filed under: Ricinus communis (castor bean)
Lineage: Eukaryota; Viridiplantae; Streptophyta; Magnoliopsida; Malpighiales; Euphorbiaceae
Description: long non-coding RNA (RCOM_LNC002663)
Source: RNAcentral